Molecule: long non-coding RNA, 1581 nt
Organism: Anguilla rostrata (American eel)
Lineage: Eukaryota; Metazoa; Chordata; Actinopteri; Anguilliformes; Anguillidae
Exons: 2
Source: RefSeq, a predicted model, not a curated record
UCCACAACCAUUUCUUACAGGGUCACUUCGCAUUUCUCACUCUCAUAAUAAAACGUUUUGCAAAAAUAAAUGAUAUCUCAUAAAAAAACACGUUUUCAACGUACAAAAAUGCCAAGUUACUCACACGUACAAGACAUACACCGUCUAUAACUCAUUCAUUCAAACUGAGUUCGAUAAACUUUGUUACAGGCUUAUAUUGUGCUUUCAAGUGUGUAUCGACACUAUUUUGGGAUCUUGUAUUUAAACAAAACCUAAGUAAGCAUCAUAAGCACCUUACUACUUUCUCCGGAUUACUCGCCAAAGUAAAUUGUAAACCAAACGACGCGAACAACUGAAGAAAAUACGGUAAGAGCGCAUCAUGACUUCCAUUCCCUGCAUUGUUUGCUGCAUGGUUAGUCUUAGCUCUGCUGCUAAUUUUACUAGUAAUGGUACCUGUUCUAAAUGUCUGCUUAAUUUAGAAUUGGCACAGAAAAUAACUGAGUUAGAGACGCGCAUCCGGACUUUGUAUCAGAUCCAGGAGAGUGAGACUUUCUUAGACUCCCUUUUACCCGAGCCGGAUGCUAGUUUAGAUGCGAGUGUUUCUCCGCCGCCAGUGUCCUCGCUGCAGGACGAUUUUAUCACGGUACCAAAGAAACAUAGUUGCCGGCCCAGGGCCGCCGAGCACCACCCAACUCGCGUUUCCAACAGAUAUUCCCCACUCAGUAACACACCUACUGAGAAAGCCCUGAUCAUAGGGGAUAGUAUUUUGAGAAACGUGAGAUUAGAGACACCAGGGACCAUAGUACAGUGUAUUCCUGGGGCCAGAGCCACCGACAUUGAGGCAAAUUUAAAAGUGCUGGCUAAAAGUAAACGUAAAUACUCUAGGAUUGUUAUCCACGUCGGCACAAACGACAUCCGAUUGAGGCAAUCGGAGGUAACCAAAAGUAAUUUUAUAUCGGUGUGUGCAGUGGCAAAAAAGAUGUGUCGGGAAGUAAUUUGCUCUGGCCCGCUUCCAGCUUGUAGGAGCGAUGAGGUCUACAGUAGGCUAUCUUCGCUAAAUCUCUGGCUGUCGGAGUGGUGCUCAUCUAGUGACAUAGGCUUUAUUAACAAUUGGCCUGAUUUCUGGGGAAGGCCUGGCCUAUUGAAGAGAGACGGACUCCACCCGAGCUGGAGAGGUUCUCGUGUCCUAUCCAACAACAUAGCUGCUAGUCUUAAUAAGGCCAGAUCCUGACACUCCAUCAGGGCACCGGCCAGGCCGCAGGCUUCUAACUUUAUGUUUUUGCCUGCUCGUUUCUUUAUACCUGUGUCCCAGACUUAUGGCCCUACGCCUAUGUCUGCAAGGUGCGUUUCAGAGUUAGUUCAUAGAAAUAGUAUUUCAAAAGCCCCUUUAAUUAAUACUCUUAAACUAGAAUCUGAUAUCUGUUAUAUUGAGACUGUGUCUGUUCCACGCAUCUAUGCCAAACAUAAAGCUAACCGUGGAAUUGAUGUGGAUAACUUAAUUGUCAUUAAAACACGGCACGCUGCUAUUAUUCAUAGUGAACCAUCCUUAAAAAUUGGACUAUUAAAUGUUAGAUCACUCACUCCAAAAGCAGAUCUUGUCAA